RNAcentral lists this unclassified non-coding RNA (361 nucleotides) under Hevea brasiliensis (rubber tree). The record is from RNAcentral. Lineage: Eukaryota; Viridiplantae; Streptophyta; Magnoliopsida; Malpighiales; Euphorbiaceae.
GAUUUUUUUUAUAUUUUUUUAUUUUUAAAAAUUAAACCAUUUUGCACCAUAUAUGAAUAAAGUCUCUAUUAUAGAUGAGGUAAUCUUCAAAGAAAAUAGCAUAGCUGCCUAUUCAUUGUGGCAGAGCCUCCCAUUUGAGGCCAACUGUGCCCAACUAAAUUGAAUAAUUCUUGUGGAAAAUGAAUGACAAACUGCCAGUUUCUACAUUUUAAAUAUCUUCUUUUAAUUAUUGAAGGCACCUAUGCCCAAAGAUUCUAAUGAACUUAAGUCUACAGAUUUGUAGUUGCUCAUUUUAUCAGUUGAUUACAGUUAUUCGGCUAUGAUUUGAUUUUAUACUCUUUUUAAUGCAUAUUUCUCAAAC